Molecule: ribosomal RNA, 253 nt
Filed under: uncultured bacterium
Lineage: Bacteria
Description: partial 16S ribosomal RNA
Rfam family: Bacterial small subunit ribosomal RNA
Source: RNAcentral
UACGGAGGGUGCAAGCGUUAUCCGGAUUCACUGGGUUUAAAGGGUGUGUAGGCGGGCAGUUAAGUCAGUGGUGAAAUCUCCGGGCUCAACCCGGAAACUGCCAUUGAUACUAUCUGUCUUGAAUAUUGUUGAGGUAGGCGGAAUAUAUCAUGUAGCGGUGAAAUGCAUAGAUAUGAUAUAGAACACCGAUUGCGAAGGCAGCUUACUAAACAAUUAUUGACACUGAGGCACGAAAGCGUGGGGAUCAAACAGG